RNAcentral lists this ribosomal RNA (216 nucleotides) under Glomeromycotina sp. Its description in RNAcentral is "partial small subunit ribosomal RNA". The stretch from base 40 to 216 matches the Rfam family "Eukaryotic small subunit ribosomal RNA", at positions 686 to 864 of the family's 1831-position model. The record is from RNAcentral. Lineage: Eukaryota; Fungi; Glomeromycota.
GGGUCAGUAGGUUGGUCGUGCCACUGGUACGUACUGGUCUCACUGAUUCCUCCUUCCUGAAGAACCGUAAUGCCAUUAAUUUGGUGUUGCGGGGAAGCAGGACUGUUACUUUGAAAAAAUUAGAGUGUUUAAAGCAAGCUAACGCUUGAAUACAUUAGCAUGGAAUAAUGAAAUAGGACGAUCGAUCCUAUUUUGUUGGUUUCUAGGAUUGACGUA